Molecule: long non-coding RNA, 4036 nt
Organism: Felis catus (domestic cat)
Lineage: Eukaryota; Metazoa; Chordata; Mammalia; Carnivora; Felidae
Exons: 2
Source: RefSeq, a predicted model, not a curated record
CAGGCCUGGGGCUCCGGUGCCGCACCGGUGUGGUUGGGCACGGCCUCUGGAUGACUUUUGCUGUGGAAGAGUAAUUCCUGAACGGAGGGUCCCUGGGCACCAAGGGAGUGUCUGAAUCACGGUGUCCCUUGACUGGGCCUCCCCGGCAGGUGCCCGUCUGUCCCCUCUGUGCUGUGUCCUGUGUGGACAGGGGUCCGCACUCUCAAGUGUCUAAUGGUUGGGUGGGGCCCUUGUCAUUGUUUUCCGCUGAAAAUCACUGAAAUAUCUGUCUGUCAGAGUAGCUGUGUUUUUACCUCUCAGAGCAAACAGAUCUUUCGUGCAGCUUUCUACAAGCGUCCCCAGUGGUCCUCCGCAGCAGGCCGCGGCCCUGCUGCGCUGUGAGGUGACCACGAGGCCAGCUGAGCUCCGUGGAGGAGAGAGGCGUCCGGCCCACUGGCCGGAGGCCACACCUGGCGGGCAGAGGCUCUGGCUUCUCCCCACUGGGCUUGGCGGCCUCCGCCCAGCUUUUAGUCUGUCGUCUGUCCGAUGAGAGCAGUCAAGAGCGGCUCCUUCCCAAGGGACUGAAAUGGAAGUGACAAAGUGUAAAAAUACCAACAAGCACUUGGAGACGCCAUUGAGGCUGCCUCGAGACGAUGUCUCUUCCUGUCAGAUGCCCUCUGCACAGAAACUGGACCCAGGCGGGAUUGCUCACACCGCAGACGCACACACACCCUUGCCCGUGAUCGCGGGCGUGUUCCAGCACCCAGAGGGCCCCCCCGGCCCCCAGCACCACCCGCUCCCAGGUGAAGUUUCCACGAGUGACUUGGUCACUUCCUAGAAAAACGGUCGGAGCUCACAGGUUCACUGGUCAGCUCCUAGCCUCGAGUGGGGCAGCUCCGGGGCCACGGAGUCCGGACGAGCGGCCCUGAAAAGGUCACGGGUGGCAGCUGGCAGCCUGAACUUUGGCGCCAUGAGGGGGGCCAGGCCUUCCUGCCUCAGGACUGGCGCACCCCCCCCCUUGACAGGGAGCGGUCCCGGGGGGCUCUGUGCCCCAGACUCCAGGAGCUCCCGGAGGGAGGGACCAUCCGUCUGGCCCUCCCUCCGCGCUAGAGAGGACGUGCCUCUCGGGCGCUCAGCCCCGACACACAGCGCGCCCCUCUUGUGGGCUUUGCUGAGCUCUUCCAUCCGGGCGCUCAGGUCUAACAUUCAAAACCAGACUCAAAAUCAAUUCUAUCACAAAGUUCCACUUGAACGUCUGGCCCCCCAGCCCCCCUCUGCCGCACUGCUGGCCAAGUGGGCUCACAGCCAAGGAGGGGAUUUUGUCAGAAUCCCGCGGAAGAAGCCCCGCGGCGCUGGGUGCACGCCUUGGGGUGUCUUUUCACCUGGACGCAGUCACGAGGACACAGUUCCCUGCAGAAGCCACCGAGGGGUGGGCCUGCCCCGCCGGAGGCUGGCUGCCAGGGGCCGGGACGCGGGAUGCGGGGUCACUCCAGGACGCUGACGCAGAAGCACGAGGUUGAGGCCAGCCGCCUCUGCACCCCGCCCUCCCCGGCCUCGCCUGCUGUGUGGUAAGUGGCCUCUGGGUCCCAACACGACAUCUUCUGGGGACAAGUCCUCCUCACGCCCGGCCGUGUGUCCAGCGAUCGUCGCCAGAUAACCGUUUGUUAAAUGUACGAAUGAGUAAGAAGCAGCCCUGUUUCAUUGCCGAAAGCUCUGGACGUACAGCGCUGGACGUCUGCGCUUAGCGGAGACGUAGACCCUCCCGUCACCGACGAGGUUCUGACGCGGGAGGCGGGACUUGGCACGAGGCGGUCUUUCGAGACCAGAGUGGACGCAGCUGGCUGGCGGGCCCACCAUUGUCCACGGGGCCCUUCAAUUUAGCAAUUGGCUGGAAGUCGAAGCCAGAAGCUUCUAACGAGGGCACCCGUGUGCGGCGUGCGGCGUCCCGGCCUGUUCGCGCCCCAGGCUGGAUGCGGCGACCCUCCCAGCUCUCCAGCGUCCUUGUGUCCUGAGUGCAGACCCCCUCUCGCCGGCAUCUGGAGGGUCCCAGAGUGGGUGACAGGCCGACCGCUGUUCUGACCUCCCCGUCUGGCCCCAGGCCUAGUGGAGUAACCAUGGGUAGUUUUUCUUGCCCUAAACACCCCUUUCUCGUAGGGCCAGCACCUGCCUCUGAGAAUUGAUUCUCCAGCAGACCGUGUUCCUCGCUGGGAGCUGCCACCACGACUUCCCUGGCCCGGGGACUCCCCACUGGGUCCUGGGCGGGUGGGCUGCAGGCAGAAGCCCAGACAGACGCAGGAGACAGACUGCUCCUCCGGCGGGCGGGGCCUGGCGCGGGGAGGCCGGACAGCAGGCCCCGUGCAGGGGGAGGCGGCAUGGGGCGCCUGCGAUCGGCUGCGGCUGCCACUCCCCCUGCCUCCCACCUGUGUGGUCCGAGGUUUCGGCAAUUCCGCGACGGCAAGAGCCAGGUGGUGGCCCUUUGCCCAAAGUGGUCAGAGUUGGUUUUCGGUUGAUGGCUCAGUGCCCCCCCCUGCGGGCCUGCAGGUGUCCAAGCCCAUGUGUAGUGUCAGCACAUGGAGCUCAGACCCCCUUCCUGGGUGGAGGUGAUCUCUUUAAAGGCAGACAUUGGCCUCUCUUUGUGUCCGUGGCUCCUAGCAGAGAGGCUGAUUCCGAGCAGAUAUUCAAUGAACAUUUGUUGAGCUGAGCUGAACGUAUAGAAUUCUGUGUUGGCAGGUGGUUCCUGCCCGAGAGGGCUUUGCAUGCGCACGCGCGCACGUGUGCACGUGCACACACACACACACACACACACACACACGUCUCGCUAUAAAUAGGACGGAUCAAUGUCCCAAGUGAGAGGCGCUGUUGGCAGCCACAACCGUAGGGUUCCCGGUUUCUGCCCGACUUAAAUAACAGAAGGUCCAGGCCACUCAGAUUCCGCCCCCAGCCCUGCCUGUGUGGCCCCCACCCCCCCAGAUCUCGAGCCACCUUCCCACAGAGCAGCCACGGCAGGUGGACACCCUCCGCGAGGGGCUCGCACGGGCUGCAGGGGACGACGCCGGAGCGGUGGGCCUGUGUCUUAGCAUCUCUCCCUCUGCUGUCAGCCAUGCAAAGUCCUGGGGCCUUUCCAGGAGAGGGGGGAUAUGCGGGGUAUCGGAGCCCCAGUAAGCCACAUCCUUGCCGAGUGGUGGGGUCAGGUUGGCAGACACCAGGGAGCUAGGCUUUACCUUUGAGUCCAAGGCACUGGACAGACCCCCAUUUGCUCUCAGCGUCUGGGACAGACCGGCCUGUCGGGCUGUCCGCAUCAGCUAGGCUCUGGCUAGUCCCCACCAGCCUGCUUCUGUUCCCCUAACGUUUCCUCUGUGCGCAUCUGUUUGAAGCCUCUUGUUCCUGCCCUGUGGACAGUGAGCCGAGGUCAGGGCUUGGAUUUGGAGCCACAGCCCAGAUGACGGCACUGAACCCCAGGCCUCCCGUUGCUGGGUCAUCACCUGUGUUCCUCAGGCAGCAAGAUCGGUGCCUGUGAGAGCGAGGGGGCCCUUCAGAGGCGGUGAAGGCAUUCCUGCUCCCUCUGAACCAGGGCCCCGCUCCCCCGGCUCCCACCAGCCCCGUAAAAGACUUGUCCGGGGCUCUACGAGCGGGAUCAGAUUUCAGCAUAGGAUGCAACACAAAGCCCACUCCCCUGGUCUCCCCACCCAUCACUCACGCAGACGAUGGGACGGAGACAGUCUGGUCAGGAUCUCCCUCAAACCCGGAGCAGGAGACCGAUGUGGACAGUUAAGGAGGAGCUGCGUGCAGGCUGGGUCCAGGCAUUCUGUCCCUCUUCAACAUGAGCAUAUGUAUUUAUAGUGUAAUAUAUGCAAACAAAAUUUAAGUUCAUAUGCGUGUGGGUUUCAUAUUUAUACCUUUUUCUGUUGCUGAAAUGGAAAACCACUGCUAAAUAUAUACACAUACAUAUGUAAGUCAUACAUAUAUGAUUUGUGUUGUGUUCAGCGCACUUAACAUUUCAUCUAAUAUACUUCAAAUAAUAUAUUUUUAAGAACACUGAAUAAAAAGCCUAUGGUUA